AGAGGCAUAUCAGCCCCACAAGUUACCCACCUUUUGAAGCUACGCACCAGGAAAUAAAACAGGAGCAGCAGAACGGGAAGCUUUGUGUGAAGUUAGUACAUAAAAGGCAAAUCACAGAAUCUUUUAACACUUACUUCAGCUAAGCCAGCUUUUGGCUAUGAGCGUUCCUGUAGCUGAUGCAGACUCAGAAUGAGAGAGACAGAGUGUGAGCAGGAGAGGGGCAGAGAGAGAGAGAGGGAGACACAGAAUCCAAACCAGGCUCCAGGCUCUGACCUGUCAUCACAGACCCCGACGUAGUGUUCAAACUCACAGAACGUGAGAUCAUGACCUGAGCUGAAGUUGGACACCUAAUGACUGGGCCACCCAGGCGCCCCUCUACUGUAUUAUGUUUUCUCUUUUUAUAAAACC
Long non-coding RNA from Panthera uncia (snow leopard), 408 nucleotides. RefSeq lists it as uncharacterized. The transcript has 3 exons. Lineage: Eukaryota; Metazoa; Chordata; Mammalia; Carnivora; Felidae. The record is from RefSeq and is a predicted model, not a curated record.